GCUUAGAGUUUGAUCCUGGCUCAGAACGAACGCUGGCGGCAUGGCUAAGACAUGCAAGUCGGACGAACCACCUCUUGCUUGCAUUGGAUGGUUAGUGGCGUAAGGGUGAGUAGUGCAUGGAUAACGUACCCCGGACACAGGGAUAACAGCGGGCGCAAGCCCUUUAGCGAAAGUGCUGCUAAUACCUGAUGAUGUCGCCGGAUCGCAUGGUUUGGCGACCAAAGGGUGGGGACCUUCGGGCCUGCCGGUCUGGGAGCGGUUCAUGUCCUAUCAGCUUGUUGGUGAGGUAACGGCUCACCAAGGCGGCGACGGGUAGCGGGACUGAGAGGUUGACCCGCCACAUCGGGACUGAGACACUGCCCGGACACCUACGGGUGGCUGCAGUAACGAAUAUUGGGCAAUGGGCGCAAGCCUGACCCAGCAAUGCCGCGUGCAGGAGGAGGUCCUUCGGGAUGUAAACUGCUGUCAGGAACCAGCAAGCAAAGCAGGUUAACAGCCUGUGGCGUUGAGCCGUUCCAGAGGAAGCCUCGACUAACUCUGUGCCAGCAGUCGCGGUAAGACAGAGGAGGCAAGCGUUGUUCGGAAUUAUUGGGCUUAAAGCGCGUGUAGGCGGCUGCGAAAGUGUUGUGUGAAAGCCCACGGCUCAACCGUGGAAUGGCAUGGCAAACUGCGUAGCUUGAGGUCGGCAGGGGUGCCUGGAACUCUAGGUGGAGCGGUGAAAUGCGUAGAUAUCUAGAGGAACGCCAGAAGCGAAAGCGGGGCACUGGGCCGAUUCUGACGCUGAGACGCGAAAGCGUGGGGAGCAAACAGGAUUAGAUACCCUGGUAGUCCACGCCGUAAACGAUGCACACUAGACGUCGGAGUUCUGACGACAUCGGCGUCGAAACAAA
This 890-nucleotide ribosomal RNA is filed under the name uncultured bacterium. Its description in RNAcentral is "bacterial SSU rRNA". It matches the Rfam family "Bacterial small subunit ribosomal RNA", at positions 1 to 855 of the family's 1533-position model. The record is from RNAcentral.